RNAcentral lists this ribosomal RNA (320 nucleotides) under uncultured eukaryote. RNAcentral describes it as "partial 18S ribosomal RNA". It matches the Rfam family "Eukaryotic small subunit ribosomal RNA", at positions 1470 to 1796 of the family's 1831-position model. The record is from RNAcentral.
CCCUUAGAUGUUCUGGGCCGCACGCGUGCUACACUGAGUGGAUCAGCGGGUCAGGUUGCGCGAAAGCGUUUCCUAAUCUUUAAAUCCGCUCGUGAUGGGGAUUGACGGUUGCAAUUUUCUGUCAUGAACGAGGAAUACCUUGUAAGCGCGGGUCAUCAUCCCGCGCUGAAUACGUCCCUGCCCUUUGUACACACCGCCCGUCGCUCCUACCGAUUGAGUGCUCAGGUGAAUAAUUCGGACUGCAGCAAUGUUUGGAUCCCGAACGUUGCAGCGGAAAGUUUAGUGAACCUUAUCACUUAGAGGAAGGAGAAGUCGUAACA